Molecule: long non-coding RNA, 271 nt
Organism: Anoplopoma fimbria (sablefish)
Lineage: Eukaryota; Metazoa; Chordata; Actinopteri; Perciformes; Anoplopomatidae
Exons: 3
Source: RefSeq, a predicted model, not a curated record
GUAGAGAUCACUGUAACCAUGCUGAAAGAAGUAUUUGUGCUUGGAUGCCUCCUGAGCCUCGCUCUGGCUCAACCUUUGGACAUGGAGCACAAACGACUUGCUCGGUCAAGCUCGAACUCUGAAUCCAACUCUAAUUCCAAUGAGCAAACCACCACCACUGCACCUACCACAACCACCACUUCUACGGCGACAACCCAGUCCCCGGCAACAACCCAACCUUUAACGAUCCAACAAAUUCUCAACCUUCUCAUUGCCCUCCUGGGGCCAAGAU